AGUGAACGCUGGCGGUAGGCCUAACACAUGCAAGUCGAACGGCAGCACAGUAAGAGCUUGCUCUUACGGGUGGCGAGUGGCGGACGGGUGAGGAAUACAUCGAAAUCUACUUUUUCGUGGGGGAUAACGUAGGGAAACUUACGCUAAUACCGCAUACGACCUACGUGUGAAAGCAGGGGAUCUUCGGACCUUGCGCGAUUGAAUGAGCCGAUGUCGGAUUAGCUAGUUGGCGGGGUAAAGGCCCACCAAGGCGACGAUCCGUAGCUGGUCUGAGAGGAUGAUCAGCCACACUGGAACUGAGACACGGUCCAGACUCCUACGGGAGGCAGCAGUGGGGAAUAUUGGACAAUGGGCGCAAGCCUGAUCCAGCCAUACCGCGUGGGUGAAGAAGGCCUUCGGGUUGUAAAGCCCUUUUGUUGGGAAAGAAAAGCAGCAGGUUAAUACCCCGCUGUUCUGACGGUACCCAAAGAAUAAGCACCGGCUAACUUCGUG
This 492-nucleotide ribosomal RNA is filed under the name uncultured bacterium. RNAcentral's name for it is "partial 16S ribosomal RNA". It matches the Rfam family "Bacterial small subunit ribosomal RNA", at positions 29 to 507 of the family's 1533-position model. The record is from RNAcentral.